GACGGAGGAUGCAAGUGUUAUCCGGAAUCACUGGGCGUAAAGCGUCUGUAGGUGGUUUAUUAAGUCAACUGUUAAAUCUUGAAGCUCAACUUCAAAAUCGCAGUCGAAACUAGUAGACUAGAGUAUAGUAGGGGUAAAGGGAAUUUCCAGUGGAGCGGUGAAAUGCGUAGAGAUUGGAAAGAACACCGAUGGCGAAGGCACUUUACUGGGCUAUUACUGACACUCAGAGACGAAAGCUAGGGUAGCAAAUGGG
Molecule: ribosomal RNA, 253 nt
Filed under: uncultured bacterium
Lineage: Bacteria
Description: partial 16S ribosomal RNA
Rfam family: Bacterial small subunit ribosomal RNA
Source: RNAcentral